UUUUUUUAGUUUUUAAGGGGCGAAAACAGUUAUGUUCGAUUUUUUACGAUAAAUAUGA
RNAcentral lists this transfer RNA (58 nucleotides) under Hebesoma violentum. Its description in RNAcentral is "tRNA-Glu". Lineage: Eukaryota; Metazoa; Acanthocephala; Eoacanthocephala; Neoechinorhynchida; Neoechinorhynchidae. The record is from RNAcentral.